ACAGUUGCCUGUCCAAAUCCACUGUGAGGGAGGUGUUUAGGCAGUGAUAAAUAGGACUAAAGCUGGCAAAUUGAACCUAAGUCAACAAAGAUUUGUAGUCAUAAAAAAGGGAAAUGUGAAAGCAGUCUGUAUAAAGAGGAGGUGGCCUGGGAAGGUUUAUGUUAGUCUCUACUACUCUACCUGAUUCUGAUAGGACACAGCUAAACUACAGUGUCUGGUAUUGAUAGCCUCAUUAUGGAGGAUACAGAUUAUUUUGGGGUCCAAAAGUAAAGAGAAUUACAACAAAAAAAUGUGCAGUUUUCCAUUUAAAAUAGGUGAAUCUAGCAGAAGAGAGGGUAGUAACUAAUGAAUAAAUACAAAUUGAUACCAAGGUGAUAAGCUUUUCUCCUUGACCGCUUGUUGAGAAAAAUCACAGGGAACAGAAUAAAUUUAACCUAAGAAAGAGGGCCUAAGAAAGCAAUGACAGCACAAACAGUAAAACCUUGGAAUCAGUUGUCUGAGACACAGCAUCCCUACCACUAGGGUUCUUAAGGACAAAUCAAACAUCUGUCAUGUGCACUUCAGUGUAAUUGAUUCUGCUGUACAGUGGAGAGAUGAACUAAGAUGACAUUUUAGGAUAACUUCUAGUAUUCUUUUCUCUGUUGUUUGUGGGUUCCUCCCCCAGGUAUACUGAAUUGUUAUUCAUAAAUGCUGCUUGAUUGACUAAUAUCUUGUUUUAUUAAAGAACAACAUCAAAACUGCAACCGAAAAUCUGCUUAAAAAAAAAAAGAACCAGAAUUAAUCUCGAGGAAGCUAACCUUGGAAGAAAGCCAGAGAGAAACAGAACGGAAGUAUACAAAUACGAAGAACUGAAAGAAUAAUUUUUAGAAAAGAAAGAUGAAGAGAGAUAAGACAAAAGAGCCACUCAGCAGUCAAUCAAAACUACUGGAAAACUCAGAGAGGACACGGAAUUUCUGGAGAGUGAGCAGGAAAUACUAAAUGCAGAGACAGCUCUCACAACGAAAAUUCAACAAGGAGAAGAAAAGACCGGUGGGUGAUAGUAAUACCAGGCUGCAAGCACGACCGACUUCUCUGCUUGACAAAAAAAUCGAGGAUGAUCAGGGUAAGAUACACUAAAAUUUAUCUUUUCUCUUCUUUUUUUCCCCUUUUUAAAUGCCCAGAAUACUUCA
Long non-coding RNA from Cuculus canorus (common cuckoo), 1169 nucleotides. RefSeq lists it as uncharacterized. The record is from RefSeq and is a predicted model, not a curated record. The transcript is spliced from 3 exons. Lineage: Eukaryota; Metazoa; Chordata; Aves; Cuculiformes; Cuculidae.